This 2928-nucleotide ribosomal RNA is filed under the name Klebsiella grimontii. RNAcentral describes it as "23S ribosomal RNA". It matches the Rfam family "Bacterial large subunit ribosomal RNA". Lineage: Bacteria; Pseudomonadati; Pseudomonadota; Gammaproteobacteria; Enterobacterales; Enterobacteriaceae. The record is from RNAcentral.
GGGUUGUGAGGUUAAGCGACUAAGCGUACACGGUGGAUGCCCUGGCAGUCAGAGGCGAUGAAGGACGUGCUAAUCUGCGAAAAGCGUCGGUAAGGUGAUAUGAACCGUUAUAGCCGGCGAUGUCCGAAUGGGGAAACCCAGUGCAAUUCGUUGCACUAUCGUUUGAUGAAUACAUAGUCAAACGAGGCGAACCGGGGGAACUGAAACAUCUAAGUACCCCGAGGAAAAGAAAUCAACCGAGAUUCCCCCAGUAGCGGCGAGCGAACGGGGAGCAGCCCGGAGUCUGAAUCAGCUUGUGUGUUAGUGGAAGCGUCUGGAAAGUCGCAGGGUACAGGGUGAUACUCCCGUACACUAAAACGCACAGGCUGUGAACUCGAAGAGUAGGGCGGGACACGUGGUAUCCUGUCUGAAUAUGGGGGGACCAUCCUCCAAGGCUAAAUACUCCUGACUGACCGAUAGUGAACCAGUACCGUGAGGGAAAGGCGAAAAGAACCCCGGCGAGGGGAGUGAAAAAGAACCUGAAACCGUGUACGUACAAGCAGUAGGAGCCUCUUUAUGGGGUGACUGCGUACCUUUUGUAUAAUGGGUCAGCGACUUAUAUUCUGUAGCAAGGUUAACCGUAUAGGGGAGCCGCAGGGAAACCGAGUCUUAACUGGGCGUUAAGUUGCAGGGUAUAGACCCGAAACCCGGUGAUCUAGCCAUGGGCAGGUUGAAGGUUGGGUAACACUAACUGGAGGACCGAACCGACUAAUGUUGAAAAAUUAGCGGAUGACUUGUGGCUGGGGGUGAAAGGCCAAUCAAACCGGGAGAUAGCUGGUUCUCCCCGAAAGCUAUUUAGGUAGCGCCUCGUGAACUCAUCUUCGGGGGUAGAGCACUGUUUCGGCUAGGGGGUCAUCCCGACUUACCAACCCGAUGCAAACUACGAAUACCGAAGAAUGUUAUCACGGGAGACACACGGCGGGUGCUAACGUCCGUCGUGAAGAGGGAAACAACCCAGACCGCCAGCUAAGGUCCCAAAGUCAUGGUUAAGUGGGAAACGAUGUGGGAAGGCCCAGACAGCCAGGAUGUUGGCUUAGAAGCAGCCAUCAUUUAAAGAAAGCGUAAUAGCUCACUGGUCGAGUCGGCCUGCGCGGAAGAUGUAACGGGGCUAAACCAUGCACCGAAGCUGCGGCAGCGACACUAUGUGUUGUUGGGUAGGGGAGCGUUCUGUAAGCCGUUGAAGGUGGCCUGUGAGGGUUGCUGGAGGUAUCAGAAGUGCGAAUGCUGACAUAAGUAACGAUAAUGCGGGUGAAAAACCCGCACGCCGGAAGACCAAGGGUUCCUGUCCAACGUUAAUCGGGGCAGGGUGAGUCGACCCCUAAGGCGAGGCCGAAAGGCGUAGUCGAUGGGAAACAGGUUAAUAUUCCUGUACUCGGUGUUACUGCGAAGGGGGGACGGAGAAGGCUAUGUUGGCCGGGCGACGGUUGUCCCGGUUUAAGCAUGUAGGCGGAUGUUCCAGGUAAAUCCGGAACGUUACUAACGCUGAGGUGUGAUGACGAGGCACUACGGUGCUGAAGUGACAAAUGCCCUGCUUCCAGGAAAAGCCUCUAAGCAUCAGGUAACAUCAAAUCGUACCCCAAACCGACACAGGUGGUCAGGUAGAGAAUACCAAGGCGCUUGAGAGAACUCGGGUGAAGGAACUAGGCAAAAUGGUGCCGUAACUUCGGGAGAAGGCACGCUGAUAGGUAGGUGAAGUGGUUUACCCAUGGAGCUGAAAUCAGUCGAAGAUACCAGCUGGCUGCAACUGUUUAUUAAAAACACAGCACUGUGCAAACACGAAAGUGGACGUAUACGGUGUGACGCCUGCCCGGUGCCGGAAGGUUAAUUGAUGGGGUUAUCCGUAAGGAGAAGCUCUUGAUCGAAGCCCCGGUAAACGGCGGCCGUAACUAUAACGGUCCUAAGGUAGCGAAAUUCCUUGUCGGGUAAGUUCCGACCUGCACGAAUGGCGUAAUGAUGGCCAGGCUGUCUCCACCCGAGACUCAGUGAAAUUGAACUCGCUGUGAAGAUGCAGUGUACCCGCGGCAAGACGGAAAGACCCCGUGAACCUUUACUAUAGCUUGACACUGAACACUGGUCCUUGAUGUGUAGGAUAGGUGGGAGGCUUUGAAGUGUGGACGCCAGUCUGCAUGGAGCCAUCCUUGAAAUACCACCCUUUAAUGGCUGGUGUUCUAACGUGGGCCCCUAAUCGGGGUUGCGGACAGUGUCUGGUGGGUAGUUUGACUGGGGCGGUCUCCUCCUAAAGAGUAACGGAGGAGCACGAAGGUCAGCUAAUCCUGGUCGGACAUCAGGAGGUUAGUGCAAUGGCAUAAGCUGGCUUGACUGCGAGCGUGACGGCGCGAGCAGGUGCGAAAGCAGGUCAUAGUGAUCCGGUGGUUCUGAAUGGAAGGGCCAUCGCUCAACGGAUAAAAGGUACUCCGGGGAUAACAGGCUGAUACCGCCCAAGAGUUCAUAUCGACGGCGGUGUUUGGCACCUCGAUGUCGGCUCAUCACAUCCUGGGGCUGAAGUAGGUCCCAAGGGUAUGGCUGUUCGCCAUUUAAAGUGGUACGCGAGCUGGGUUUAGAACGUCGUGAGACAGUUCGGUCCCUAUCUGCCGUGGGCGCUGGAGAAUUGAGGGGGGCUGCUCCUAGUACGAGAGGACCGGAGUGGACGCAUCACUGGUGUUCGGGUUGUCAUGCCAAUGGCAUUGCCCGGUAGCUAAAUGCGGAAGAGAUAAGUGCUGAAAGCAUCUAAGCACGAAACUUGCCCCGAGAUGAGUUCUCCCUGACCCUUUAAGGGUCCUGAAGGAACGUUGAAGACGACGACGUUGAUAGGCCGGGUGUGUAAGCGCAGCGAUGCGUUGAGCUAACCGGUACUAAUGAACCGUGAGGCUUAACCUUACAACGCCGAAG